UUUUUCCUCAAGUGCAGAGAUCUCAGAUGA
RNAcentral lists this non-coding RNA (30 nucleotides) under Rattus norvegicus (Norway rat). Lineage: Eukaryota; Metazoa; Chordata; Mammalia; Rodentia; Muridae. The record is from RNAcentral.